RNAcentral lists this ribosomal RNA (210 nucleotides) under Triticum aestivum (bread wheat). RNAcentral describes it as "partial small subunit ribosomal RNA". The record is from RNAcentral. Lineage: Eukaryota; Viridiplantae; Streptophyta; Magnoliopsida; Poales; Poaceae.
AUGGUUAGGAUGCUGGAUCUUGCCGCGGCCAAGGGCUUCGCCGCGCCCGGCAAUGUCAUCGGCCUCGCCUUCGUCUUCGUGGCCGUCGUCGCCGUGGUGGCCAUCGCCGUGUUCAGCUGCUCCGACGGGGCGGACGAGUCAGACGCCAGGCGCAAAAAGAAACGCAGGGCCCAACCCGUCGUUAUUGUUUACGGUGGUGGAGGCUGCUAA